Long non-coding RNA from Cyanistes caeruleus (blue tit), 3955 nucleotides. RefSeq lists it as uncharacterized. Lineage: Eukaryota; Metazoa; Chordata; Aves; Passeriformes; Paridae. The record is from RefSeq and is a predicted model, not a curated record.
UCUGAGGUCUUCAUUAUUUGUCAUUUCUGGAUUGACUGUUUCAUAUUUCACUGAAGUUACUUUUCCUUAUAGCUUGCUUUGAUCACUUUUGGUACCAGAGCUAAGAACCAUAUUACUACCUACACAUUUCAUAUUAUAGAUAAUCCUGCCACAAAUCUUCUCUUGAUCCUUGCAGUUAUCUGCUGCUAGCUCUGUGGAAGUAAUUUUACUUUCCAGAAUUUCAAGGUUAUAUACAGCAACCCAGCAGUUUAAGGAGCUCACUGAUUGCUGCUAGAGCAACUGGCCAAAUUAGGAGGAUAACAUCACCAGUCCAAUCCAUAUUGCCAUUCCAAAUCAAAAUCAGCAAUCAUUUCCAGCAUGAUUGUGAUUUUCUAAAAAUGCUAGAAAUGUAAGUAAAGGAAGAAGAAUUUGACUCUUUAGCCUUGAAUGAAGAUGUCAAAAUACAAGACGUAUCAGAAAGCCACGUGAAGAAAGCAAGGAGAACACUGUAAUAUCAUGAUAGCAACAUUCAGAAUUUUGCUGUCAGCAAAAUUUUCUUGUGUGUUAAAAGGCCUUGAGAUCAGAGCAAAGGAAAGAAACAGCUUAACUACCUCAGUAACUAGCACAGAAUCUGUCUGAAUUGAAAUCUCAAGCCUCAGAAGAACAAGUAAAGCAGAGUCUGCAUUAUCAAUUGUCUGCCUGAGAUGGGUUCAUUGACUGUGAUAUGCUGAGAGAAAUCAAAAGUACCAAGAGAAUUAACUGUACUGCAAUUGCUCCCAUGCAGACUGGUCAGAUGGUACACUGGAAUGUGAAUCAGAGAUUAAAUUUUCAGGUGUUUUCACAAAGUGUCCAGAUAACAGGACAGAAGAGCACCACAGCCUUGGACUUGCUUCAGAGCAAUCUGCAGGACUUGGCUCAAAGGCAAGAUAUUCUGAUUCUAUGAUUCUAAAGAUUUAAUACCAGUCUGUUAAAAAAAAAAAAAUAGAAGCAGUUGCCUGCUGCUAUAGGGAAUUCAAACCACAUGGGCAAAGGACCACUCCAGAAAUGCCACAGUUGGCUCAUCCCUUGAGAAGCAAAAGAAAUAACUUCAGGAAGGUGUUUGCCUAUUUGCCAUUCUCUUCCACUCUCUUCUACCUCCCUUUGCUUGGAUUCUCCUUCCACAUUCAGGAUUAUGUUACAAGAAUAUGAGUUUUGUGAAUAGUUAAUGUUAUAGGAAGAAAGAAGGGGGCAACCAGACAGGAAUGUUAAUAGCAGUGUCUUUCCUGAAGCCAUCAGGUAGAUGAAGUUGACUGUGAACUUCUGUGAGAAUUUUCAAACACCACCUCAACCAUUCAAGGCUUAAAGGAGCAAGGGAGAGGCUCAUAACUCAAGAGUGGGUUCAUUGGAAUUCAUUGUCUCCUCCUGCCCUUCAGAGGAAGAAUUUCAUUCCUUGGAAGGAUGCUUAGAGGUCAAAUAUUUGUGUUGUUCCCACCUCAGUCCAAAGACCACACAACAGGAGAUAAGGGCAGCACCAGUAGUGAGAUAUAGUUAACUCAUGAACUGAUACUGAUACUUCAAACCUAGAAAUUGCUUUUAUUCAUUUUUUUGUUAGUAUGCUCACUCAAAGCAUUGCAUUAUUAUUGCCAUCGCUACUGCUGCUGAGUUUCUCUGGCUAAGUCCUUGAGAAUUAUGAUUUUUCAACAUAUUUACACAUUAGUUACAGAUGUAGUUGUAAAUAAUAGAAUGUAGAAGGACAAGAGGAUGUGGCCAGCUCUUGCAGUGGUGCCCAAUGGCAGAAUAAGGGACAAUGGACACAAAGAGAAAGGCAGGAAGCUCUAUCUGAAUACAAGGAGAAACCACUUGGACAGAGCACUGGAGCAGACAGCACAGAGAGGAUGUGGAGUCUCCUUCUCGAGAUAUUCAAAACCCACCUGGACAUAACCCAGUGCAACCUGCUCCAGCUGAACCUGCUUUAGCAGAGGGGCUCGACAAGAUGAUCUCCAGAGGUCCUUUCUGACUCCAAGCAUCUUGUGAUUCUCUGACAAACAGCAGAUGUUUCAGGUUUCUCCAUGAAUGCCUUCUCUGGACACUAUGGAGACAAAUGCUCUUGGGCAGAUGAAGCAGCUGCCUGAAGGCAGAAGGCAAUUUCAGCCCUUUAAAUAGUGCAAUGGCAAUAUCAGAGGUUUCUGUUCUCUCUAUCCCACAGUCUGUUCUUCCUUCUGCAACAGCUUUUAGAUUUUAGAUCUAGACCUGACUAUUGUCUGAUCUUUGACAGCUUGCCAGGCAGGGUGCUUUGCCAUAUAUUUUUAUAUUCUUUAUGCUACAGUUUACUUAUUCUGUGUAGAGUGGAUUAUUUCCCUUUUUUCCACGAAUGUCCAUUGUCUGUAUGGCACUGACAAAGCCAGACAAUGGAUGCUCUUUUAACAGCAAAGUAAGAUUCAGGAUACCUCAACACAAUGAUUAAAAAGCCUGUCUGAAUUAUGCAAAUCUGUUUAAUUACAGCUUUUUUUUCGUGAAGUCUUUAUGCCAGAAAGAUAGUCUCAGCAACCUCAAAAUUGAAUAAUUUGCAAACAUUUGAGGAUAUGCUAAGAUAAAAGGGUUUGUCUGUUUCAGGAUCUUUUCUGAUUGAUAAUUUCUGUCAAAAGGAUUUUGACAUUAUAAUUGAAUGGUUGCAAACCUGAAAGUAAAAGUGACAUUAUAUUCCCUUUGAACAUGAAAUGAAAGGAAGUGUACCUUAUUCUCACUGGGUAUCUUUUUUAAUCAAUGUUAUUCUUACUCCAAAUUUUUGUGGACAAAAUACACAGUUGCUAAAUUGGUACUACAGCCUGAUAGCUGCUCAGGGCUGGGGAACUGACAGGGAGAAGGAACUGAGACCAUCUCCCUGAGGAAAGCUCUUGUGUUAUAUUGCCAUAUAUGUAUUUUGAAGACACUGAAGUUUCUCUGGAGACAUGUAGGAAAAAAAAUUCCAGUUCUCUUAAAUUAAGUAACUAGAUUAAUCCCAUUGGAUCAUAUAAAUCAAGUGAUCAGAGGAAGAGAUUGUGUGUACAUGAACAAUAUAAUUUUUUGCUAGAUAUAACACCGUAUCAUCAAAAGUCCAGAAGACAACUUCACCCAGACAAUAAGAUUCUUACAAAUAUUCUGAAGUUCUUCAGAGCCAAACUGUCAACUCAUCCUCCAGCACCAUCUCCCCUUCUUACAUGUCUUAGCAAAAGGGAACUGCACAUUCCACUGCUCUAGAGCAUCACAAUAAAAAAGAGUUUGUGGACUAGAGGUACUUCAUUGGAUGAAAAUGUUGACACAAUGGAAAGUUUAUGCUAUUCAUGUGUUCAUGUACAUCACCAGCUAAUUUUCCACAUGCAUCAGGAGAAUUCUGAGAUAGCUGACUAGCAAAAAUUAACUGAAACAUCAGAAAAAGUUUUGGGCAUAAAAAAUAUAAAAAUGCAACCUUAAUGUGUGACAGGAGAACUAAUAUAUCUUGCCAUGGACCAUGACUUCAUCUUGCAGGAUAUUUCAUAAAGACAAAACUAAAAAAUGCCUUAUUAGGUUCUUAGGUUUUUAAUUUUUAGGCAUAAAUGAAUGAGAAAACAAAUCACUGGAAGACUACAAGGGAACCCUGAGAUAAUAUGCAUCAGCCUGAAUAGUCCUGACAGGUAAAUCAUCCUUAUUGAUAUGUAACCUCUCCAAUGGGUUCAGUUUUAAAUUAAAAUUUCUAGUAAACCAGAAUUCGUUGUCCAAGUAAAUUUUCAGAUAAUCCAUGGUCAAACAUACACUGAAACUUCAAAUAAAAUAAAUGCUUAAAAUAUCAAUGCUGGAGUGAUUUAAAAAGCAUUUUAAGACAGUGUUUGCUUGUUCUAUGUUUGUUUAACAAUCCUGAAAAAAUCCCCAACUAUCUUUAUUUUAACUACUGAUUGUCCUUUUCUUCUAAAUUAACUUCAAAUCCUUUGCUCAUAUUGAAUCAAAGUGACUUCAAACAGAAGUCCAUUUAUUAAAUAUUUUA